UAACCACUCGGCAUCUCGCACUCCCUGAGACCCUAACUUGUGAAGCUUUCUAAAAAGAUCGCGAGUUAGAAUCUUGGGCUCUGCGAGGAGCUCGAUUGCCG
RNAcentral lists this microRNA precursor (101 nucleotides) under Capitella teleta. RNAcentral describes it as "microRNA cte-mir-125 precursor". Its record names the gene cte-mir-125. The stretch from base 16 to 85 matches the Rfam family "lin-4 microRNA precursor family", at positions 1 to 71 of the family's 80-position model. Rfam says of the family: The extents of the hairpin precursors are not generally known and are estimated based on hairpin prediction. The products are thought to have regulatory roles through complementarity to mRNA. The record is from miRBase by way of RNAcentral. Lineage: Eukaryota; Metazoa; Annelida; Polychaeta; Capitellidae.